UUAAUGCAGUUUAUCUAGCUACGUCAUCAAGCGGCUUCGCUUCCAACCAGCUUUUUCCCUCCAAGUGCAGCUCUGUCUCCGUGCUGUGGGCUCACACUGCUUCAGCUCUUCAAGACAGAUGACUUUUUGUUUUAACUCCCAAGCUUUUUCCCUCCAAGUUUCUGUGCAGUUCUGUCCUGCUGACUGCUAACAUAGCUUCAUCUCUUCAAAAGACAAGACAACAGGUAUCUUCCACCAAGAUGUCUGUUGAAAUGGAAAUGACCUUGCCCACUACACCAAGGGUAAUCAUGCUUGGUAAGAGGAAUAUUUUCCAUCACUAUAAUUUUUUUGUAGCAAUGUAUGUAAUUGUUAUGGUAGUCUGUACUUUUACUCACUAGCGUUAGCCUGACAAGGGUUUGUCUAUUUUAGGAAAUAGCUUGAUGUCUGCAACCCAGUGGAUGGUCAGUAUGG
Xiphophorus couchianus (Monterrey platyfish) is the source of this 450-nucleotide long non-coding RNA. RefSeq lists it as uncharacterized. Lineage: Eukaryota; Metazoa; Chordata; Actinopteri; Cyprinodontiformes; Poeciliidae. The transcript is spliced from 3 exons. The record is from RefSeq and is a predicted model, not a curated record.